RNAcentral lists this non-coding RNA (138 nucleotides) under Bacillus sp. SJS. RNAcentral's name for it is "Bacterial small subunit ribosomal RNA". It matches the Rfam family "Bacterial small subunit ribosomal RNA", at positions 1 to 147 of the family's 1533-position model. The record is from Rfam by way of RNAcentral. Lineage: Bacteria; Bacillati; Bacillota; Bacilli; Caryophanales; Bacillaceae.
UUUUUGGAGAGUUUGAUCCUGGCUCAGGACGAACGCUGGCGGCGUGCCUAAUACAUGCAAGUCGAGCGGACCUCUUCGGAGGUCAGCGGCGGACGGGUGAGUAACACGUGGGCAACCUGCCUGUAAGACUGGGAUAAC